UACGGAGGGUGCGAGCGUUGUCCGGAAUCACUGGGCGUAAAGAGCGCGCAGGCGGUCGUUCAAGUCGCGUGUGAAAGCCCCCGGCUCAACUGGGGAGGGUCACGCGAUACUGAUCGACUCGAAGGCAGGAGAGGGAAGUGGAAUUCCCGGUGUAGUGGUGAAAUGCGUAGAUAUCGGGAGGAACACCAGUGGCGAAGGCGACUUCCUGGCCUGUUCUUGACGCUGAGGCGCGAAAGCUAGGGGAGCAAACGGG
Molecule: ribosomal RNA, 253 nt
Filed under: uncultured bacterium
Lineage: Bacteria
Description: partial 16S ribosomal RNA
Rfam family: Bacterial small subunit ribosomal RNA
Source: RNAcentral